RNAcentral lists this ribosomal RNA (1289 nucleotides) under uncultured organism. Its description in RNAcentral is "bacterial SSU rRNA". It matches the Rfam family "Bacterial small subunit ribosomal RNA", at positions 93 to 1391 of the family's 1533-position model. The record is from RNAcentral.
GAGUGGCGAAAGGGCGAGUAAUGCAUUUCUAACGUACCCCAAGGUCAGGGAUAGGUCGGAGAAAUCCGGCAUAAUACCUGAUGACCCGGUAGUGUCGUAUGGCACAGCCGGCAAAGGUUUACUGCCUUGGGAGCGGGGAAUGUCCUAUCAGCUUGUUGGUGAGGUAAUGGCUCACCAAGGCGAAGACGGGUAGCGGGCGUGAGAGCGCGGCCCGCCGCAUCGGGACUGAGACACUGCCCGGACUCACUACGGGAGGCUGCAGUAACGAAUAUUCCACAAUGCGCGAAAGCGUGAUGGAGCAAUGCCGCGUGUAGGAUGAAGCCCCUCGGGGUGUAAACUACUGUCAGGAGCUACCAACACAAUGAGGAGCUCCAGAGGAAGGAUCGGCUAACUCUGUGCCAGCAGCCGCGGUAAUACAGAGGAUCCGAGCGUUACGCGGAAUCACUGGGCUUAAAGCGUGCGUAGGCGGAUAGGCAAGUGCCUUGUGAAAUCCCCGGGCUUAACCCGGGAAUUGCUCGGUAGACUGCCUAUCUUGAGGUCGGUAGAGGCGGUCGGAACGGUAGGUGGAGCGGUGAAAUGCGUAGAUAUCUACCGGAACGCCGAAGGUGAAGACAGGCCGCUGGGCCGAACCUGUCGCUGAGGCACGAAAGCGUGGGUAGCGAACAGGAUUAGAUACCCUGGUAGUCCACGCCGUAAACGAUGCGUACUAGAUCGAGGAGGUUUUGACGCCAUCUCGGUCGAAGCUAAAGUGUUAAGUACGCCGCCUGGGGAGUACGGUCGCAAGGCUAAAACUCAAAGGAAUUGACGGGGGCUCACACAAGCGGUGGAGCAUGUGGCUUAAUUCGAAGCAACGCGAAGAACCUUAUCCAGGGUUUGACAUGUAUGGAUUAACUCGAUGAAAGUCGAGCCACGCUCUUUGAGUGGAACAUACACAGGUGCUGCAUGGCUGUCGUCAGCUCGUGCUGUGAAGUGUCGCGUUAAGUCGCUUAACGAGCGAAACCCCUAUCGUUAGUUGCCAUCAGGUUAUGCUGGGGACUCUAACGAGACUGCCGGUGUCAAACCGGAGGAAGGUGGGGAUGACGUCAAGUCCUCAUGGCCUUUAUGCCCUGGGCUGCACACGUGCUACAAUGGCGCGCACAGAGCGGAGCAAUAUCGCGAGAUGGAGCAAAUCGCAAAAAACGCGCCCCAGUUCGGAUUGUAGUCUGCAACUCGACUACAUGAAGUCGGAAUCGCUAGUAAUCGCGUAUCAUCAAUGACGCGGUGAUACGUUCCUGAGCCUUGUACACACC